CACACAAUUCAAUCAAAUUUCAUGGGUUCAACAACAACAACAUUUUCAUUAUUCACACAAUUCUAUCAAAUUUCAUUGGUUUAACAUCAACAUUUUCAUCAUUCACACAGUUAAAUAAAAUUUCGUGGAUUUAACAACAACAACAUUUUCAUCAUUCACACAAUUCAAUCAAAUUUCAUGGGUUUAAGAACAACAUUUUUAGCGUUCACACAACUCAAUCAAAUUUCAUGGGUUUAACGACAAUAUUUUCAUC
This 253-nucleotide long non-coding RNA is filed under the name Lathyrus oleraceus (garden pea). RNAcentral's name for it is "Pisum sativum (pea) long non-coding RNA (PSAT_LNC016115)". Lineage: Eukaryota; Viridiplantae; Streptophyta; Magnoliopsida; Fabales; Fabaceae. The record is from RNAcentral.